CGUAAGGUUAUCUUUCAGAUUUUAGAUAUAAUGUUUUGACCAUUCGUCUUAUUUAAAAUUUUUUUGUUAUUAAUAUUUUUAUUUUUAAUAGAUGAUAAAAUAUGAAUAAUAUUUUAUGUGUUACUAAUUUUUUAAGUUUUUAUAUAAAUUUUUUAAAUAAGACGAAUGAUUAAAAUAAAUGGCACAGAAAUCAAAAAAUGAUAUUAUU
RNAcentral lists this microRNA precursor (208 nucleotides) under Oryza brachyantha (malo sina). RNAcentral's name for it is "MIR812 microRNA precursor family". It matches the Rfam family "MIR812 microRNA precursor family". Lineage: Eukaryota; Viridiplantae; Streptophyta; Magnoliopsida; Poales; Poaceae. The record is from Rfam by way of RNAcentral.